Long non-coding RNA from Drosophila gunungcola (fruit fly), 548 nucleotides. RefSeq lists it as uncharacterized. The record is from RefSeq and is a predicted model, not a curated record. Lineage: Eukaryota; Metazoa; Arthropoda; Insecta; Diptera; Drosophilidae. The transcript has 3 exons.
UUGUAAGUUUUCUGUUUGGGCAACACUUUCGCAGCUUUAGUUUUAGCCACCUGUCUUUUCUCCGCUGAUCAGCUGCUACACUGUUUACAAUUGAAAAUGCGGUAAUUGCCGUGCUUGCAUAAAUAUUUUUUGAACUUUGGUCAAGGUGCCAGGUUUUAUGGGAAAUAGUAACGGGAACACUGGAUUGCCUUGAUAUUGAAACGGACGGGCGGUGGAAAGAAGUGAAAAUGCGGCGUUACGUGAGUGUCUGCUAUAUGUCCGUCUAUCUCGCUCCCUCGAUCGGCCAGUCUCUGAGGAAUAAUGGGUCGCAGUACACACAUAAGCACGAGUAAAAUUGUUCAAACGAGAUUGAAAUAACGACAGCAACAAUGCUGUACACAGAAAAAAAUUGUGGCUUAUAUAAAAAAAAUUUUACCUUUGUUUUUUCAUUAUUUAGUGUUUAUUGACAAUUAAAGUGAUAUGUAUAUUUGAAAGAAAUUCGUGAUAUAAGUUUACAAGUUUCUUAGGAGCCCAUUCUGUGUCGUAUUAAAUCACAAAUGUGUUAACUU